This is a long non-coding RNA of Equus asinus (donkey), 1589 nucleotides long. NCBI's taxonomy places the organism in Eukaryota, Metazoa, Chordata, Mammalia, Perissodactyla, Equidae. The record is from Ensembl.
CUGUUACUCCGUGUCCUUCUUGCACAGUUCAAAUGUGCUAUCUCUGAAGUAUUCCCAUUCUUGAGAAAGGCUGUCCUGAUUUCCUUACAAUCAUUUCUAUUUGAACUCUAAACCUUCAGGAAAGAAUACUUUUCAACUCCAUUUUGCUGAUUAAUAGGGAAGAGGAAGCAUUUUUCUUAGUGGUAGUAAUGGAAGCUAUGCUGUGUUCAUUUUUAUUUUAUUAGAGUAGACCUCACGGGCAAAGAGAGUUGGCCCGGGCCAGCUCUCUACAUGGCAGAUCAAGGGGCUUAGAGGUGACAGUGAAACACUGGGUUUGAGCGAAACCGCGUGAGACCUGCUGUGGCGCCAAACUCCUUUACACUGGAUGGUCCAUGUUACUCAUUCAUUUGACAAGUAGGUAUCAGUUUCCUCUCUACUGUGCCGGGCACUGGGGCUGCAGUCCUGGUCUUUAUGGAGCUUGCUUUCUGGCAGAAGUCACUGACAAUGAGCCAGCAAUCAAAUAAGCAUGAUCAUUGCAGAGGAUGGUCACAGGGAUGGGAAGCAAAGAAGACAAGUGCAGGGGCUAGGACGGACUGGGAAAGGCCAUCCUUGGGAGGUGACAAUUGAGCUGAGACUUGCCUGAAUGAUAAGGAGCCAGCCAUUCCAAAAGCAGGGACUUUCAGGAGGCCUGCACUGAAUUCACUUGUGAGCCUCGUUUUGGCCGAAAACCUGAAAGGAGGGACAGAUGUGACAAAUUCAGGAGGAGAAAGGCUUAAUGUGGGGGGCUCUGCCUGGGAUGUGACUUUGCAGGGGCUGCUGUGGAGGUCCUGGAUAGUAGAACAUCAAGUGGCCCCAAAGAGAACACAGACGGCAAAUUGCCCUAUUCCCAGCCUUUACCUUCACCUCUACCCAUGGACUACAGUGGAUAGGUAUUCACAGCCUGUCUUCCUCUGCAGCUUCCCAAGACGUGGACUCUCCACAAGAGCUUAACUCCUUUCUCGUCACAGCUUCCCUGCUGCUUAUUUGUGAAAACUUUGCCCGAUGCUAAGGAAUGAAUGAGGCUUAAGAAGAAAAGACAUGUCAAGGAGAGCACGGAAACAAGCGCUAUUGCUGGAGAAAGUAAUAAAAUCUUGGUGAUGGUUCUCCAGAAGACCCUGUUCUCUCUCCUCAGCUCAGUCUGCCUGUUGGGAGCAAAGUCUCUUUUUCCAUCAGAGGAAGAAGCAUCCAUGAGGAGAAGUUAAAUCCCACACAGGAACAGGACCGUGUGCUGCUCACUGCUGCAGCUCAGUGCCCAGGUGGUGCCUGGCCCACAACAAUGGCUCAAUCCAUGUUGAGUGAAAUGCCCCAGCCACUCGGGCUCUCAGCAGAGCAGUUUGGAAACCUGCACUCCAUCCUUCUGCUUCUGCAAAUGUCCACAAGUGUGUCUUUGUAGAACAGAAAUUUGAAGGAACAAGUGAGUGAGCAAAUGAGGGUGUCCAUCCACUGUGUGUAGGCAGCCCUGCGGCCUGAAUCUAUGGAGGUCGCUGUUUACCAAGAAGCUCAGUCUUGAAAUGCAUUGUCACUCCACUUAACGGCCACAGCUUACAUUUUAAUAAAAUCUGGAAAUGUGA